AGAGUUUGAUCAUGGCUCAGGACGAACGCUGGCGGCGUGCCUAACACAUGCAAGUCGAACGGUUGAGAGGUGAGAGUUGGGAGGUUAGAAGUGAGAGCUUGAAGGUAUUGGCCAACAUGCCAAUACCAGCAAUGAAGUCUCACAUCCCGCUUCCCACAUCUCACUUCUCAAUAGUGGCGGACGGGUGAGUAACGCGUGGGCAACCUACCCAUCAGACUGGGAUAACACCGGGAAACUGGUGCUAAUACCGGAUACGCUUAUGGAGGGGCAUCCCUUUGUAAGGAAAGAAAAUCGCUGAUGGAUGGGCCCGCGUCUGAUUAGCUAGUUGGUGGGGUAGUGGCCUACCAAGGCGACGAUCAGUAGCCGGCCUGAGAGGGUGACCGGCCACACUGGGACUGAGACACGGCCCAGACUCCUACGGGAGGCAGCAGUGGGGAAUAUUGCGCAAUGGGGGAAACCCUGACGCAGCAACGCCGCGUGAGUGACGAAGGCCUUCGGGUCGUAAAGCUCUGUCGACAGGGACGAAUAGAUGACGGUACCUGAGGAGGAAGCCCCGGCUAACUACGUGCCAGCAGCCGCGGUAAUACGUAG
RNAcentral lists this ribosomal RNA (591 nucleotides) under uncultured bacterium. RNAcentral's name for it is "bacterial SSU rRNA". It matches the Rfam family "Bacterial small subunit ribosomal RNA", at positions 8 to 530 of the family's 1533-position model. The record is from RNAcentral.